Molecule: ribosomal RNA, 441 nt
Filed under: uncultured Nisaea sp.
Lineage: Bacteria; Pseudomonadati; Pseudomonadota; Alphaproteobacteria; Rhodospirillales; Thalassobaculaceae
Description: bacterial SSU rRNA
Rfam family: Bacterial small subunit ribosomal RNA
Source: RNAcentral
AACGAACGCUGGCGGCAUGCCUAACACAUGCAAGUCGAACGAGAAGGUGCUUUCGGGUACUGGACAGUGGCGCACGGGUGAGUAACGCGUGGGAACCUGCCCUGAGGUACGGGAUAACGGCUGGAAACGGCCGCUAAUACCGUAUGUCCCCUGCGGGGGAAAGAUUUAUCGCCUUGGGAGGGGCCCGCGUCCGAUUAGCUAGUUGGUGAGGUAAUGGCUCACCAAGGCUUCGAUCGGUAGCUGGUCUGAGAGGAUGAUCAGCCACACUGGGACUGAGACACGGCCCAGACUCCUACGGGAGGCAGCAGUGGGGAAUAUUGGACAAUGGGGGCAACCCUGAUCCAGCAAUGCCGCGUGUGUGAUGAAGGCCUUAGGGUUGUAAAGCACUUUCACUGGUGAAGAUGAUGACGGUAGCCAGAGAAGAAGCCCCGGCUAACUCCG